This 474-nucleotide ribosomal RNA is filed under the name Acrosterigma simplex. RNAcentral's name for it is "partial 16S ribosomal RNA". It matches the Rfam family "Bacterial large subunit ribosomal RNA", at positions 1810 to 2608 of the family's 2925-position model. The record is from RNAcentral. Lineage: Eukaryota; Metazoa; Mollusca; Bivalvia; Cardiida; Cardiidae.
AAAACAUCUCUCCUUGAGUUGAUUGGGAGUAGUCCCUGCCUUGCGAUUAUUUUAGCGGCGGCGUUAAGUUUUGAAGUAGCGUGGCAAUUUGUCCCUUAAUUAGGGUCUGGUAUGAAUGGGUUGACGUGGAGGCACUGUCUUAAAGGAAGUGUCAGAAAUUUUCUUAUCAGUGAAAAGCCUGAUAUGGUGUUAAAAGACGAGAAGACCCCGUCGAGCUUAAUUACCUAGUUGAUAUUUCAACUGGAGAAGUUUUGUUGGGGCAACAAUGGAGAAAAUAAUCCUCCUUUUAUUUUUGCGUAGAUCCUCCUGUUGGGGAAAAAGGAAAAAGUUACCGCGGGGAUAACAGCGCAAGGCCACCUGAUAGGUCUUAUUGAAGGUGGGAUUUGUGACCUCGAUGUUGGAUUAGAAGACGCGGCUAGGUGCAGAAGCUUAGUGAGCGGGACUGUUCGUCCUUUGAAUUUCUACAUGAUCUGA